Molecule: ribosomal RNA, 115 nt
Filed under: Larimichthys crocea (large yellow croaker)
Lineage: Eukaryota; Metazoa; Chordata; Actinopteri; Sciaenidae
Source: RNAcentral
GGCUACGGCCAUACCACCCUGAAUGCGCCCGAUCUCGUCUGAUCUCGGAAGCUAAGCAGGUUAGGCCGGGUAGUACGUGUUGGGAGACCGCCUGGGAAUACCAGGUGUGAAGCUU